RNAcentral lists this ribosomal RNA (497 nucleotides) under uncultured bacterium. RNAcentral's name for it is "partial 16S ribosomal RNA". It matches the Rfam family "Bacterial small subunit ribosomal RNA", at positions 28 to 507 of the family's 1533-position model. The record is from RNAcentral.
GAUGAACGCUGGCGGCGUGCCUAAUACAUGCAAGUCGAGCGAACAGACGAGGAGCUUGCUCCUCUGACGUUAGCGGCGGACGGGUGAGUAACACGUGGAUAACCUACCUAUAAGACUGGGAUAACUUCGGGAAACCGGAGCUAAUACCGGAUAAUAUAUUGAACCGCAUGGUUCAAUAGUGAAAGACGGUUUUGCUGUCACUUAUAGAUGGAUCCGCGCCGCAGUAGCUAGUUGGUAAGGUAACGGCUUACCAAGGCGACGAUGCGUAGCCGACCUGAGAGGGUGAUCGGCCACACUGGAGCUGAGACACGGUCCAGACUCCUACGGGAGGCAGCAGUAGGGAAUCUUCCGCAAUGGGCGAAAGCCUGACGGAGCAACGCCGCGUGAGUGAUGAAGGUCUUCGGAUCGUAAAACUCUGUUAUUAGGGAAGAACAAAUGUGUAAGUAACUAUGCACGUCUUGACGGUACCUAAUCAGAAAGCCACGGCUAACUACGUG